AAGUCGAACGGUAACAGAAAAAGCUUGCUUUUUGCUGACGAAUGGCGAACGGGUGCGUAACGCGUAUGCAACCUACCUUUUUCAGAGGGAUAGCCCAGAGAAAUUUGGAUUAAUACCUCAUAAUAAUAUUUUCUCGCAUGAUUAAAUAUUUAAAGUUUCGGCGGGAAAAGAUGGGCAUGCGUAACAUUAGUUUGUUGGUGAGGUAACGGCUCACCAAGACUACGAUGUUUAGGGGUUCUGAGAGGAUGAUCCCCCACACUGGUACUGAGACACGGACCAGACUCCUACGGGAGGCAGCAGUGAGGAAUAUUGGUCAAUGGACGAAAGUCUGAACCAGCCAUGCCGCGUGAAGGAUGACUGCCCUAUGGGUUGUAAACUUCUUUUGUAUAGGAAGAAACCCCUCUACGUGUAGAGGGCUGACGGUACUAUUCGAAUAAGCACCGGCUAACUCCGUGCCAGCAGCCGCGGUAAUACGGAGGGUGCGAGCGUUAUCCGGAAUUAUUGGGUUUAAAGGGUGCGUAGGCGGAAAUUUAAGUCAGUGGUGAAAGCCUACAGCUUAACUGUAGAAUUGCCAUUGAAACUGAACUUCUUGAAUCUAAUUGAAGUAGGCGGAAUAUGACAUGUAGCGGUGAAAUGCUUAGAUAUGUCAUAGAACACCGAUAGCGAAGGCAGCUUACUAAGUUAGUAUUGACGCUAAUGCACGAAAGCGUGGGGAGCGAACAGGAUUAGAUACCCUGGUAGUCCACGCCGUAAACGAUGAUUACUCGCUAUUGGCGAUAUACAGUCAGUGGCCAAGCGAAAGUGAUAAGUAAUCCACCUGGGGAGUACGAUCGCA
RNAcentral lists this ribosomal RNA (835 nucleotides) under uncultured marine bacterium. RNAcentral describes it as "bacterial SSU rRNA". It matches the Rfam family "Bacterial small subunit ribosomal RNA", at positions 59 to 890 of the family's 1533-position model. The record is from RNAcentral.